Long non-coding RNA from Lates calcarifer (barramundi perch), 849 nucleotides. RefSeq lists it as uncharacterized. The record is from RefSeq and is a predicted model, not a curated record. The transcript has 3 exons. Lineage: Eukaryota; Metazoa; Chordata; Actinopteri; Centropomidae.
CAAAAAAUGUCAUAGUAUAGUAAGGUGUCAAAAACCAUCAAAAAAUGUCAUAGUAUAGUAAGACAUGAAAAAUGGUCAAAAAAUGUCAUAGUAUAGUAAGGUGUCAAAAACCAUCAAAAAAUGUCAUAGUAUAGUAAGGUGUCAAAAACCAUCAAAAAAUGUCAUAGUAUAGUAAGACAUGAAAAAUGGUCAAAAAAUGUCAUAGUAUAGUAAGGUGUCAAAAACCAUCAAAAAAUGUCAUAGUAUAGUAAGACAUGAAAAAUGGUCAAAAAAUGUCAUAGUAUAGUAAGGUGUCAAAAACCAUCAAAAAAUGUCAUAGUAUAGUAAGACAUGAAAAAUGGUCAAAAAAUGUCAUAGUAUAGUAAGGUUUCAAAAACCAUCAAAAAAUGUCAUAGUAUAGUAAGGUGUCAAAAACCAUCAAAAAAUGUCAUAGUAUAGUAAGGUGUCAAAAACCAUCAAAAAAUGUCAUUGUAUAGUAAGACAUGAAAAAUGGUCAAAAAUUGUCAUAGUAUAGUAAUGUGUCAAAAAUUGUCAAAAAAUAUCAUAGUAUAGUAAGACAUGAAAAAUGGUCAAAAAUUGUCAUAGUAUAGUAAGGUGUCAAAAAUGGUCAAAAAAUGUCAUAGUGUAGUAAGGUGUCAAAAAAUGUCAUAGUAUAGUAUGGUGUCAAAAAUGGUCAAAAAAUGUCAUAGUAUAGUAAGGCGUCAAAAAAUGUCAUAGUAUAAUUAAGUGUCAAAAAUGUCAAAAAACGUCAUAGUAUAGUAAGGUGUCAAAAAUCAACAAAAAAUGUCAUAGUAUAGUAAGGUGUCAAAAAUGGUCAAAAAAUGUCAUAGUAUAGUAAGGUGUCAAAAA